GGAGAAAUUCCAAACGAACUGGGAGAUAGCUGGUUCUCUCCGAAAUAGCUUUAGGGCUAGCGUCGAAAUGUAAGUGUAUUGGAGGUAGAGCACUGUUUGGGUGAGGGGUCCGUCUAGGAUUACCAAUCUCAGAUAAACUCCGAAUGCUAAUACACAUGUUCGGCAGUCAGACUGCGAGUGCUAAGAUCCGUAGUCGAAAGGGAAACAGGCACGAUGGGCACUCUUGCCCAUGCUGCAG
RNAcentral lists this ribosomal RNA (238 nucleotides) under Klebsiella pneumoniae. Its description in RNAcentral is "partial 23S ribosomal RNA". It matches the Rfam family "Bacterial large subunit ribosomal RNA", at positions 819 to 1037 of the family's 2925-position model. Lineage: Bacteria; Pseudomonadati; Pseudomonadota; Gammaproteobacteria; Enterobacterales; Enterobacteriaceae. The record is from RNAcentral.